Molecule: non-coding RNA, 92 nt
Filed under: Paraburkholderia fungorum
Lineage: Bacteria; Pseudomonadati; Pseudomonadota; Betaproteobacteria; Burkholderiales; Burkholderiaceae
Source: RNAcentral
UUCUAUGGGCGGGCUGUGGUGGGGGAGCCGCAAGGCUCGCCGGCUUGGCGUUACACCGGUCUUCCAAUCCCGCUACGUGCCCGCUCACCCCU